This 301-nucleotide ribosomal RNA is filed under the name uncultured bacterium. Its description in RNAcentral is "bacterial SSU rRNA". It matches the Rfam family "Bacterial small subunit ribosomal RNA", at positions 500 to 797 of the family's 1533-position model. The record is from RNAcentral.
CCUACGGGACGCAGCAGCCGCGGUAAUACGUAGGUGGCAAGCGUUGUCCGGAUUUAUUGGGCGUAAAGCGAGUGCAGGCGGUUCAAUAAGUCUGAUGUGAAAGCCUUCGGCUCAACCGGAGAAUUGCAUCAGAAACUGUUGAACUUGAGUGCAGAAGAGGAGAGUGGAACUCCAUGUGUAGCGGUGGAAUGCGUAGAUAUAUGGAAGAACACCAGUGGCGAAGGCGGCUCUCUGGUCUGCAACUGACGCUGAGGCUCGAAAGCAUGGGUAGCGAACAGGAUUAAAUACCCUAGUAGUCCCA